This is a long non-coding RNA of Rosa chinensis, 776 nucleotides long. RefSeq lists it as uncharacterized. Lineage: Eukaryota; Viridiplantae; Streptophyta; Magnoliopsida; Rosales; Rosaceae. The record is from RefSeq and is a predicted model, not a curated record. The transcript is spliced from 3 exons.
AUACUACACCUAUUAUCUGCAUCUAAACUCUCUCUCUCUCUCUCAAGUUCUUUGAAGCAAAGCUCUCUCCAUUUUCUGAAACACUUUCAUUUUACAACACGUUAUCAGCACGAAUAGCUCUAGGAUUCGGAUUGCAGAUUGACAAGAGAAGAGGUGAAUAACUCUUGGGUUGCAGAGAAGAGGCAGUUCAUCAUUCAAUCAACAUCACUCUACAAGCUCUACAACCAAGUACUUAACGAACCGGAAGUUCACACAUAAACAUUGAACCGGAAGUUCACACAUAAACAUUGAACCAAAAGUUCAUACAUAAAUGUUGAACCAGAAGUUCACAUGUAUCGAACCUGUAGUUUCGACAACACUGAAAGAUUAUGAACCUUUCCAAGUAGGCUCAUCCAACUAGAUGCGAUGUCUAGACCAGCUUGAGCCCAGCAGGCCCAUUUUCCUUCCGCAAGACCGAGCAGCCCAACAGGCCUCACACACUAUUUGACUAGUGCAUGAAAGCCUGGGUCACGAGCUUGCAGCUAAGCCCCGUACGUAGGCUUUAUUAUCAAUCCCACUCUUUCUUUGGUCCAGUAGAACCAAAUAAAAGGAAAAAUGAUUUGAUUCUACUGAGAUUUGAACUCAGACAACGUCCAUGUCAUUAUGGCUAUUGUAAUAAAUUCACCAUAUUUCAUAUGUGUAAUUAAUUGCCAGAAGCAUUUAUUCACAUAAUUGUGUGAUAAUUAAUAUGUUAUUUUACUAGCAUGCAAUUAAUAUCUCAAUUGAUUUGUGAUUUC